This 885-nucleotide ribosomal RNA is filed under the name uncultured ANME-2 cluster archaeon. RNAcentral describes it as "bacterial SSU rRNA". It matches the Rfam family "Archaeal small subunit ribosomal RNA", at positions 21 to 911 of the family's 1478-position model. Lineage: Archaea; Methanobacteriati; Methanobacteriota; Methanomicrobia; Methanosarcinales. The record is from RNAcentral.
AGGCUACUGCUAUCGGGGUCCGACUAAGCCAUGCGAGUUGAGAGGGGUAAGCCCUCAGCAUAUUGCUCAGUAACACGCGGAUAACCUGCCCUUGGGUUUGGGAUAACCCCGGGAAACUGGGACUAAUACCGGAUAAAUCAAAGAAACUGGAAUGUUCUUUGGUUGAAAGCUCCGGCGCCCAAGGAUGGGUCUGCGGCCUAUCAGGUAGUAGUGGGUGUAACGUACCUACUAGCCUACGACGGGUAAGGGUUGUGAGAGCAAGAGCCCUGAGAUGGAUUCUGAGACAUGAAUCCAGGCCCUACGGGGUGCAGCAGGCGCGAAAACUUUACACUGCGGGAAACCGCGAUAAGGGGACCCCGAGUGCCAGCACCUAGUGCUGGCUGUCCAGCUGUUCAAAAAACAGUUGUUAGCAAGGGCCGGGCAAGACCGGUGCCAGCCGCCGCGGUAACACCGGCGGCCCGAGUGGAAGCCGUUAUUAUUGGGUUUAAAGGGUCCGUAGCCGGCUUAUUAAGUCUCUUGGGAAAUCUGGCGACUCAAUCGUCAGGCGUUCAAGAGAUACUGGUAGGCUUGGGACCGGGAGAGGUGGGAGGUACUCCAGGGGUAGGGGUGAAAUCUCGUAUCCUUGGGGGACCACCGAUGGCGAAGGCAUCCCACCAGAACGGGUCCGACGGUGAGGGACGAAAGCUGGGGGCACGAACCGGAUUAGAUACCCGGGUAGUCCCAGCUGUAAACGAUGCUCGCUAGGUGUCAGGUGCGGUGCGACCGCAUCUGGUGCCGCAGUGAAAACUUGAAGCGAGUCACCUGGGAAGUACGGUCGCAAGGCUGAAACUUAAAGGAAUUGGCGGGGGAGCACUACAACGGGUGGAGCCUGCGGUUCAAUUGGAG